GACGAGCCUCACAAACGUUAUUCGGAAUUACUGGGCUUAAAGGGUGCGUAGGCGGUGCGGAAAGUUGGGUGUGAAAUCCCUCGGCUCAACCGAGGAACUGCGCUCAAAACUGCCGUACUCGAGGAAGAUAGAGGUGAGCGGAACUUACGGUGGAGCGGUGAAAUGCGUUGAUAUCGUAAGGAACACCCGUGGCGAAAGCGGCUCACUGGGUCUUAUCUGACGCUGAUGCACGAAAGCUAGGGGAGCAAACGGG
This 253-nucleotide ribosomal RNA is filed under the name uncultured bacterium. Its description in RNAcentral is "partial 16S ribosomal RNA". It matches the Rfam family "Bacterial small subunit ribosomal RNA", at positions 524 to 776 of the family's 1533-position model. The record is from RNAcentral.